GGAGAGGUGCCGGAGUGGUUGAACGGGGCGGUCUCGAAAACCGUUGUCCCGCUUGCGGGACCGAGAGUUCGAAUCUCUCCCUCUCCGCCA
RNAcentral lists this transfer RNA (90 nucleotides) under Ignavibacteriaceae bacterium. Its description in RNAcentral is "tRNA-Ser". It matches the Rfam family "tRNA". Rfam says of the family: Transfer RNA (tRNA) molecules are approximately 80 nucleotides in length. Their secondary structure includes four short double-helical elements and three loops (D, anti-codon, and T loops). Lineage: Bacteria; Pseudomonadati; Ignavibacteriota; Ignavibacteria; Ignavibacteriales; Ignavibacteriaceae. RNAcentral also lists the same sequence under 1 other name. The record is from RNAcentral.